AGCAGCGUGGCUCAGUGGGAAGAGCACAGGCUUGGGAACCAGAGGUCAUGGGUUCAAAUCCCAGCUCUGCCA
Molecule: transfer RNA, 72 nt
Filed under: Ornithorhynchus anatinus (platypus)
Lineage: Eukaryota; Metazoa; Chordata; Mammalia; Monotremata; Ornithorhynchidae
Rfam family: tRNA
About the family: Transfer RNA (tRNA) molecules are approximately 80 nucleotides in length. Their secondary structure includes four short double-helical elements and three loops (D, anti-codon, and T loops). Further hydrogen bonds mediate the characteristic L-shaped molecular structure. tRNAs have two regions of fundamental functional importance: the anti-codon, which is responsible for specific mRNA codon recognition, and the 3' end, to which the tRNAs corresponding amino acid is attached (by aminoacyl-tRNA synthetases). tRNAs cope with the degeneracy of the genetic code in two manners: having more than one tRNA (with a specific anti-codon) for a particular amino acid; and 'wobble' base-pairing, i.e. permitting non-standard base-pairing at the 3rd anti-codon position.
Source: Rfam by way of RNAcentral